AUGAGAACUGAGCUCAGUCUUCCAGGGAGUCAGCAGCAGCAGGGGCUGACUGCUCUAUCAUUCCAGAUAUUCAGAGCAGCAGCUGUGGAGAGGGAUGUGUGCAAGCCCAAGCAUUGUGACAUUGGCUUCCUUCCUUGGUGAGCAAUGGCAAAGAUGAUAGACAAUGGCACUGUGAAACCUAAAACCUUCAUGUCCAGCCAAAUGUGCAACUCAUGUUGGGCAGCUUUCCAGCCUGGCACUGCAAGAUGUCACUUUUAUAGCUCACAGAUCCUGGAGCUUUUGCUUCGAAGAAAGGUCAGGUUUUGCCAGAUGUGGUGCUAUUAACCCAAAGAAUGAAGCUCACUGACAGAGUUUCCAGUACUACGGUCGCGAGGGGAAACACUCUUUUCCAUUCCCACCCUUCCCAGUCUUGGGAUUUCAAUAGAAAAGGUUCUGCAUUAAUCACCAAGGCCAGUCAGUACCUGUGAGCUCUGGUUGUUCUCCCAGUUUAAGACUUUGGAGUUGAAAUCACGCCAAACACUGUGGAGCUAACCUUAAGCCCUCAAAGUUCGGAUGAUUAUCCAUGCUGAAUUCAGCGCUGACUCAACAGCCCACACAAGAUGAUGGCCAACUGCAACCCAAGAAGAGGCAUCUCAGCUGUACCUCGCCAUGCCGGCACUCUACUCUUGUACUUCUCCCAUCCAGAACUGUGAAAAAUAAAUGUUUGUCAUUCAA
This is a long non-coding RNA of Chinchilla lanigera (long-tailed chinchilla), 714 nucleotides long. RefSeq lists it as uncharacterized. NCBI's taxonomy places the organism in Eukaryota, Metazoa, Chordata, Mammalia, Rodentia, Chinchillidae. The transcript is spliced from 2 exons. The record is from RefSeq and is a predicted model, not a curated record.